GAUGAACGCUGGCGGCGUGCCUAAUACAUGCAAGUCGAGCGAACAGACGAGGAGCUUGCUCCUCUGACGUUAGCGGCGGACGGGUGAGUAACACGUGUAUAACCUACCUAUAAGACUGGGAUAACUUCGGGAAACCGGAGCUAAUACCGGAUAAUAUAUUGAACCGCAUGGUUCAAUAGUGAAAGACGGUUUUGCUGUCACUUAUAGAUGGAUCCGCGCCGCAUUAGCUAGUUGGUAAGGUAACGGCUUACCAAGGCGACGAUGCGUAGCCGACCUGAGAGGGUGAUCGGCCACACUGGAACUGAGACACGGUCCAGACUCCUACGGGAGGCAGCAGUAGGGAAUCGUCCGCAAUGGGCGAAAGCCUGACGGAGCAACGCCGAGUGAGUGAUGAAGGUCUUCGGAUCGUAAAACUCUGUUAUUAGGGAAGAACAAAUGUGUAAGUAACUAUGCACGUCUUGACGGUACCUAAUCAGAAAGCAACGGCUAACUACGUG
RNAcentral lists this ribosomal RNA (497 nucleotides) under uncultured bacterium. RNAcentral describes it as "partial 16S ribosomal RNA". It matches the Rfam family "Bacterial small subunit ribosomal RNA", at positions 28 to 507 of the family's 1533-position model. The record is from RNAcentral.